Molecule: long non-coding RNA, 608 nt
Organism: Populus euphratica (Euphrates poplar)
Lineage: Eukaryota; Viridiplantae; Streptophyta; Magnoliopsida; Malpighiales; Salicaceae
Exons: 2
Source: RefSeq, a predicted model, not a curated record
GCCUUACAUCUUCUCCUAAACCACAAUGCAAGGCACUCUUCACGGUAUAUCCACAAGAACCCAACAAUAACAAUAAGAAGAGAGAAGAAGAAAUUACAGUAGAGAGAGAGGUAGAUCUAAAAUACUACAGAUAAAUAAAAACUACUGUCUAGUGUUGUUUUCUUUGUCUUGGAGGUAGCGGUGAUGCUCGCUACCAGUAAGGAAAGGAAGAGGUUAAAGAUUCGCUUAAGUUCCACCAAUUUUUGCUCUUCAAUCGAUGACGACGCGUGAAGCCAAGCGCUGACAGUGACGGUGCUUGGCUGACACUCUUCACUGCUUUUGUAUGAAGAGUUGUAAAGAAAUGCUUAUGAAACUAGUUUGCAAUAAUGAGUGGACAGCCCCUUAAGCAUUUCAAUGGAGUUUGUUUUAUUGUGGGAGUACUAGUUGCUAAUAAAUUUAAUAAAUGGAAUUAUUAUUUAGUUUUCUAUCCUAAGUUCAAAAUCAAUUUCGCAGGUGAGGUAACCUGAAAAAAUGCUCUCUGGAAACUAGAUUGUCAGGACAACAUUUUUUUUUCUUCUAUGUAAUGCCUGUUAGAGAAAAUUUAUUACAAGAGACUGGGAUUUCAGCGA